RNAcentral lists this unclassified non-coding RNA (314 nucleotides) under fungal sp. RNAcentral's name for it is "partial internal transcribed spacer region". The stretch from base 1 to 46 matches the Rfam family "Eukaryotic small subunit ribosomal RNA", at positions 1786 to 1831 of the family's 1831-position model. The record is from RNAcentral. Lineage: Eukaryota; Fungi.
AAGUCGUAACAAGGUUUCCGUAGGUGAACCUGCGGAAGGAUCAUUAACACGUAUCCAACGUUAAACAACCCUGUGAACCUUCAUUCCUGCUCUCCUUGUCCGUUGAGAAAGCAAUCCCUGGUAAAUCACACGAACAGUUUGAUUCAGGGACCUCUUUUGAUGACGCACUUGGAUUCGAUGCGGCGUCGUAAUUUAGACUUGGUUUCUGGAAGGCUAUCAACGAGUCAAAUCGUUGACUGACGAUAAAGGAUGCUGCCUAACAAAACGCUCCUCAUAAAAACGAACAACUGUUAACAAUGGAUAUCUUGGUUCUC